Molecule: ribosomal RNA, 253 nt
Filed under: uncultured bacterium
Lineage: Bacteria
Description: partial 16S ribosomal RNA
Rfam family: Bacterial small subunit ribosomal RNA
Source: RNAcentral
UACGUAGGGUGCAAGCGUUGUCCGGAUUUAUUGGGCGUAAAGAGCGUGUAGGCGGCUAGGUAGGUCCGUUGUGAAAACUCGAGGCUCAACCUCGAGACGCCGGUGGAAACCAUCUAGCUAGAGUCCGGAAGAAGAGAGUGGAAUUCCUGGUGUAGCGGUGAAAUGCGUAGAUAUCAAGUGGAACACCAGUGGCGAAGGCGAGUCUCUGGACAUUUCCUGACGCUGAGGCACGAAAGCCAGGGGAGCAAACGGG